CCUAGACAUAUCCAUGGUAAGGUGUGCUUUUUCUAGUUAAUACCUAUGACUGUCCCUUUCUCUGGCCUAUAUUCUUCCAGAUUUGUCCUGUGGUUAAACAGGCCCUGACACAGACAACCAUCCAGACACUUGACACCAUCAAUUCCUUGCCUCCCAUAGGAACAUUGGGGACAAUUAAGUACACACUUGCUGCAUGUCUUGCAAUUACAGGCCAGACUGUGGGGCUCAACAUCAAUGUUGCUCUCCGACUGCUGGGAGGCCCUAUGGUUCGCAUACCAGCAAGCUCGACCCAGGUUGCCCUUCCAAAACUGAAAGAACACACGAUCUCCUUGGGCUUCCGUCAGUUCUUCCUGUCAUCUACCCUCUCCAUCCUCAUCAACAUUUCCCCACCUGUGUUUACCUGCACUCAGGAAAUGGAUCUUUCCUGGAGGCCAAAUUUGUGAUUUCUGGAUGUAGAUUGAUGAUCUCUCUCUGUCUGGACAGGUACUGACUGGGCUAGGGGACAAUGGUGAUUAGGAUCUGUCCCUGUUUGAGGGAGGAAGAGGUUUUAUUGACAUAUUAGAGUAACAGAUUUUCAUCCCAGAGUAAUCUGAG
RNAcentral lists this long non-coding RNA (594 nucleotides) under Monodelphis domestica (gray short-tailed opossum). RNAcentral's name for it is "lncRNA (ENSMODG00000038073.1)". Lineage: Eukaryota; Metazoa; Chordata; Mammalia; Didelphimorphia; Didelphidae. The record is from RNAcentral.